Long non-coding RNA from Lontra canadensis (Northern American river otter), 479 nucleotides. RefSeq lists it as uncharacterized. The transcript is spliced from 3 exons. The record is from RefSeq and is a predicted model, not a curated record. Lineage: Eukaryota; Metazoa; Chordata; Mammalia; Carnivora; Mustelidae.
GCUGUGCCCAUCAGAACCUGCAGAGCCCUUGAACAGUGAGGGAGUGAAGCAAGAUGAGUAUUUCAGAUCAUCUACUCACUUGGUCUACCCUCCAGUCAUUCAGAGUUGGGUUUUACUAUGAUUUACAAAACUAUGUAACAAGGCAGGAAGAGCAGGAAGCCAAGGGCUGCACUUCAUCCCAGAGGGGGGAUGCUGAAAUAUUGAACGAACUGCACGCAGGUGUCCAAGCUUCAGGAAAUUCUAAUUGAAACACUGACUGAAAAAGUCCAUCCUACUUACAUACAUCGAGCUGUUGUUUAAGCCCUUUUUCACAUGCAAUGAGCUCAUAUUCGGAAUGUUUUGACUCAACAUGCAUAAAGGCUUGGCAGAAGCUUUUGGGGAGGAGCACUCUGUCACAGAAAGCAAGAGAAAAACAAGGCUGGGGCUCAGCACAUUCUCUAGGAGCACACAGGCCUUCAUGGGCCAGGGUUUCCGUUAUU